RNAcentral lists this ribosomal RNA (716 nucleotides) under Mycobacterium sp. L2009. RNAcentral's name for it is "bacterial SSU rRNA". It matches the Rfam family "Bacterial small subunit ribosomal RNA", at positions 24 to 744 of the family's 1533-position model. The record is from RNAcentral. Lineage: Bacteria; Bacillati; Actinomycetota; Actinomycetes; Mycobacteriales; Mycobacteriaceae.
UCAGGACGAACGCUGGCGGCGUGCUUAACACAUGCAAGUCGAACGGAAAGGUCUCUUCGGAGAUACUCGAGUGGCGAACGGGUGAGUAACACGUGGGUAAUCUGCCCUGCACUUCGGGAUAAGCCUGGGAAACUGGGUCUAAUACCGGAUAGGACCAAAAGGCGCAUGCCUUGUGGUGGAAAGCUUUUGCGGUGUGGGAUGGGCCCGCGGCCUAUCAGCUUGUUGGUGGGGUGACGGCCUACCAAGGCGACGACGGGUAGCCGGCCUGAGAGGGUGUCCGGCCACACUGGGACUGAGAUACGGCCCAGACUCCUACGGGAGGCAGCAGUGGGGAAUAUUGCACAAUGGGCGCAAGCCUGAUGCAGCGACGCCGCGUGGGGGAUGACGGCCUUCGGGUUGUAAACCUCUUUCACCAUCGACGAAGGUCCGGGUUUCUCGGAUUGACGGUAGGUGGAGAAGAAGCACCGGCCAACUACGUGCCAGCAGCCGCGGUAAUACGUAGGGUGCGAGCGUUGUCCGGAAUUACUGGGCGUAAAGAGCUCGUAGGUGGUUUGUCGCGUUGUUCGUGAAAUCUCACGGCUUAACUGUGAGCGUGCGGGCGAUACGGGCAGACUGGAGUACUGCAGGGGAGACUGGAAUUCCUGGUGUAGCGGUGGAAUGCGCAGAUAUCAGGAGGAACACCGGUGGCGAAGGCGGGUCUCUGGGCAGUAACUGAC